AGCAAAGCGGCUAGUCAUUGUGGUGGAUGGCACUGCAGCCAUGGGCCCCUACUGGCGCACCAUUGUCUCAGACUACCUUGAAAAGAUCAUCAGGUACUUCUGUGGACAGUCAAGGGGGCAGGAGCACUCUGGUCAAAUAGUUGAGCUUGGAGUGGUUAUGUAUAAGGCUCAUGAUGGUAAAGGUAUG
Long non-coding RNA from Quercus robur (English oak), 187 nucleotides. RefSeq lists it as uncharacterized. The record is from RefSeq and is a predicted model, not a curated record. NCBI's taxonomy places the organism in Eukaryota, Viridiplantae, Streptophyta, Magnoliopsida, Fagales, Fagaceae. The transcript is spliced from 3 exons.